AAUUUCAGCUGAAAAAGUCAUGAACAUAAAAGUUGUAGAGCUCAUCAAGACAUACAACUUUUAUUUUGGUCAUUUCUUCAUCCGAUAAAGUGAUAGUAAUAUUGUUUACAAAGUUUACAUAUCUCUCUUAUAGUUUAUAGAACCAAAUGAGACAAAUGUAAAUUUUGUAAACAAUGUUACUAUCACUUCGUCGGAUGAAGAAACGACCAAAAUAAAAGUUAUAGAUCUUGAUGAGUUAUACAACUUCGUUGUUGAUGACUUUUUCAAUUGAAAUC
This 275-nucleotide microRNA precursor is filed under the name Oryza sativa Indica Group (long-grained rice). RNAcentral describes it as "MIR821 microRNA precursor family". It matches the Rfam family "MIR821 microRNA precursor family". Lineage: Eukaryota; Viridiplantae; Streptophyta; Magnoliopsida; Poales; Poaceae. The record is from Rfam by way of RNAcentral.